CGCCAACACUGGGACUGAGACACUGCCCAGACUCCUACGGGAGGCUGCAGUCGAGAAUCUUUCGCAAUGGGCGCAAGCCUGACGAAGCGACGCCGUGUGAGCGAAGAAGGCCUUCGGGUUGUAAAGCUCUUUCGCUAGGGAACAAGAAAGCUCGAUUAAUAAACGGGUAAUUUGAUUGUACUUGGUAAAGAAGCACCGGCUAACUCCA
RNAcentral lists this ribosomal RNA (208 nucleotides) under uncultured Chlamydiales bacterium. Its description in RNAcentral is "partial 16S ribosomal RNA". It matches the Rfam family "Bacterial small subunit ribosomal RNA", at positions 305 to 505 of the family's 1533-position model. The record is from RNAcentral. Lineage: Bacteria; Pseudomonadati; Chlamydiota; Chlamydiia; Chlamydiales.